AGCGAACGCUGGCGGCAGGCUUAACACAUGCAAGUCGAGCGGGCGUAGCAAUACGUCAGCGGCAGACGGGUGAGUAACGCGUGGGAACGUACCUUUUGGUUCGGAACAACACAGGGAAACUUGUGCUAAUACCGGAUAAGCCCUUACGGGGAAAGAUUUAUCGCCGAAAGAUCGGCCCGCGUCUGAUUAGCUAGUUGGUGAGGUAACGGCUCCCCAAGGCGACGAGGCGUAACUGGUCUGGGAGGAUGAUCAGCCACAUUGGGACUGGGACACGGCGCAAACCUCCCGGGAGGGGCGAAGGGGGGAAGUAUGAACAAGGGGGGAGACCCGAAGCCCUCCGGACCGGGAAAGUGUGGAAGGCCGGAGGGUUGAAAGGCUUUUUUGGGCGGGAAGUUUAGACGGGACCCAAAAAGAAAGCCCCGGCUAACUUUGUG
Molecule: ribosomal RNA, 434 nt
Filed under: uncultured bacterium
Lineage: Bacteria
Description: partial 16S ribosomal RNA
Rfam family: Bacterial small subunit ribosomal RNA
Source: RNAcentral